This 406-nucleotide ribosomal RNA is filed under the name uncultured bacterium. RNAcentral's name for it is "partial 16S ribosomal RNA". It matches the Rfam family "Bacterial small subunit ribosomal RNA", at positions 30 to 526 of the family's 1533-position model. The record is from RNAcentral.
AUUGAACGCUGGCGGCAGGCCUAACACAUGCAAGUCGAACGAGUGGCGGACGGGUGAGUAAUGUCUGGGAAACUGCCUGAUCGAGGGGGAUAACUACUGGAAACGGUAGCUAAUACCGCAUACUAUCGGAUGUGCCCAUAUGGGAUUAGCUAGUAGGUGGGGUAAAGGCUCACCUAGGCGACGAUCCCUAGCUGGUCUGAGAGGAUGAUCAGUCAAACUGGGACUGAGACACGGUCCAGACUCCUACGGGAGGCAGCAGUGGGGAAUAUUGCACAAUGGGCGCAAGCCUGAUGCAGCCAUGCCGCGUGAAUGAAGAAGGCCUUCGGGUUGUAAAGUACUUUCGGCAGCGAGGCGUUAACCGCAGAAGAAGCACCGGCUAACUCCGUGCCAGCAGCCGCGGUAAUAC